AUCUCACACGGAAAUNUGGGUGGACGAUGU
RNAcentral lists this non-coding RNA (30 nucleotides) under Rattus norvegicus (Norway rat). Lineage: Eukaryota; Metazoa; Chordata; Mammalia; Rodentia; Muridae. The record is from RNAcentral.